UACGGAGGGAGCUAGCGUUGUUCGGAAUUACUGGGCGUAAAGCGCACGUAGGCGGCUACUCAAGUCGGGGGUGAAAGCCCGGGGCUCAACCCCGGAACUGCCCUCGAAACUAGGUAGCUGGAAUCUUGGAGAGGCGAGUGGAAUUCCGAGUGUAGAGGUGAAAUUCGUAGAUAUUCGCAAGAACACCAGUGGCGAAGGCGGCUGACUGGUCCGGUUCUGACGCUGAGGCGCGAAAGCGUGGGGAGCAAACAGG
Molecule: ribosomal RNA, 253 nt
Filed under: uncultured bacterium
Lineage: Bacteria
Description: partial 16S ribosomal RNA
Rfam family: Bacterial small subunit ribosomal RNA
Source: RNAcentral